RNAcentral lists this ribosomal RNA (537 nucleotides) under uncultured beta proteobacterium. Its description in RNAcentral is "bacterial SSU rRNA". It matches the Rfam family "Bacterial small subunit ribosomal RNA", at positions 1 to 520 of the family's 1533-position model. The record is from RNAcentral. Lineage: Bacteria; Pseudomonadati; Pseudomonadota; Betaproteobacteria.
GUUGGGACGUUCUUUUUAGAGUUUUGGAUCUGGCUCAGAUUGAACGCUGGCGGCAUGCUUUACACAUGCAAGUCGGACGGCAGCACAGAGAAGCUUGCUUCUUGGGUGGCGAGUGGCGAACGGGUGAGUAACAUAUCGGAACGUACCGAGUAAUGGGGGAUAACUAAUCGAAAGAUUAGCUAAUACCGCAUAUUCUCUGAGGAGGAAAGCAGGGGACCUUCGGGCCUUGCGUUAUUCGAGCGGCCGAUAUCUGAUUAGCUGGUUGGUGGGGUAAAGGCCUACCAAGGCGACGAUCAGUAGCGGGUCUGAGAGGAUGAUCCGCCACACUGGGACUGAGACACGGCCCAGACUCCUACGGGAGGCAGCAGUGGGGAAUUUUGGACAAUGGGCGCAAGCCUGGUCCAGCCAUGCCGCGUGUCUGAAGAAGGCCUUCGGGUUGUAAAGGACUUUUGUCAGGGAAGAAAAGGCUGUUGCUAAUAUCGACAGCUGAUGACGGUACCUGAAGAAUAAGCACCGGCUAACUACUCAGAGUUCUGC